RNAcentral lists this non-coding RNA (24 nucleotides) under Arabidopsis thaliana (thale cress). The record is from RNAcentral. Lineage: Eukaryota; Viridiplantae; Streptophyta; Magnoliopsida; Brassicales; Brassicaceae.
UUAUCAUUCGAGUCCCGGGAGCAC